AUUGAACGCUAGCGGGAUGCUUUACACAUGCAAGUCGAACGGCAGCGCGGACUUCGGUCUGGCGGCGAGUGGCGAACGGGUGAGUAAUGUAUCGGAACGUGCCCACUAGCGUGGGAUAACUACGCGAAAGCGUAGCUAAUACCGCAUACGCCCUACUGGGGAAAGCAGGGGAUCGUAAGACCUUGCACUCUUGGAGCGGCCGAUAUCGGAUUAGCUAGUUUGUGAGGUAACGGCUCACCAAGGCGACGAUCCGUAGCUGGUUUGAGAGGACGACCAGCCACACUGGGACUGAGACACGGCCCAGACUCCUACGGGAGGCAGCAGUGGGGAAUUUUGGACAAUGGGGGCAACCCUGAUCCAGCCAUCCCGCGUGUGCGAUGAAGGCCUUCGGGUUGUAAAGCACUUUUGGCAGGAAAGAAACGUCGCGGGCUAAUACCCCGUGGAACUGACGGUACCUGCAGAAUAAGCACCGGCUAACUACGUG
Molecule: ribosomal RNA, 484 nt
Filed under: uncultured bacterium
Lineage: Bacteria
Description: partial 16S ribosomal RNA
Rfam family: Bacterial small subunit ribosomal RNA
Source: RNAcentral